This 816-nucleotide long non-coding RNA is filed under the name Pan troglodytes (chimpanzee). RNAcentral describes it as "long non-coding RNA NONPTRT004969". The record is from RNAcentral. Lineage: Eukaryota; Metazoa; Chordata; Mammalia; Primates; Hominidae.
GGACGAAGUCCCCGGGCUUGGUCCCCCGAGGGCUUGGUUGGGCGUCCCGGGGUAGGUGGCUGCCGCGGCGAUGUGGGCGGCUUGCGUGUGGCCGAUCGGGGUCGCUGCUGAGCCCUGGAGAGCGGAGGGUCCAGGCUAGGCUGGGGGAGCGAGAGGCGAGGGCGGGGCCGCGGAGGUGUGGGCGGCUUUCGUGGUCCCAGAGGCCCCUGGUUCCCGGCAGGGCGGGGAAGGCUGGGGCGGGGCCAGAGCCGGAGCCGCGAAGCCGCGAUGGAGAGGGCCUGGAGGGUGCGCCAGGAGCCGGCGUCAGGGCCUGCCUCCAUCUCCUCCAACCCCCACCCCAUUUAUUCCUGUAACAAAUCCCUACCGGGAGCUGGCACAGCAGCUGUGCGCUGGGGACACACGAGAUGCUCACCCUCCCUGCCCUCCAGGAGCUUGGACUCAGCUGAGCUGUUGUCCACACCAAGGGUGGCCUACAGAGGGAAGUGAGGACCUUGGGACUUCCUCCAGGACAGCCCUCGCUGUCCAAAUCUCCACCUGCUGCAGAGCUGCCUCCAGUCAAGCCCUUGUUUCCGGCUUUCUGUGCCCUAAAUAAACUUCCGCUAGGAUUGAGCCGUCAGCAUUCUGUGGUGGGCGUCGCUGCUGCAAGGUUGCCCUCGUGCACACAAGCUCCUCACAGGACUUCCAGGAUGAUAUGGAAGAGUAACUGAGAGCAGCCGCCCGGUGCUUCCCAACCUUAGAGGGAGGUCACGGGCAGUCUCCCUGCGAUGCCGGCCACAGGUGUGAGGAAGACAGUCCUUAUAGGAAAAUGCCCUCUCG